Molecule: ribosomal RNA, 36 nt
Filed under: Phialophora sp. HSAUP063193
Lineage: Eukaryota; Fungi; Ascomycota; Eurotiomycetes; Chaetothyriales; Herpotrichiellaceae
Description: partial 18S ribosomal RNA
Source: RNAcentral
UCCGUAGGUGAACCUGCGGAAGGAUCAUUACUAGAG